RNAcentral lists this transfer RNA (73 nucleotides) under Planctomyces sp. Its description in RNAcentral is "tRNA-Lys". It matches the Rfam family "tRNA". Rfam says of the family: Transfer RNA (tRNA) molecules are approximately 80 nucleotides in length. Their secondary structure includes four short double-helical elements and three loops (D, anti-codon, and T loops). Further hydrogen bonds mediate the characteristic L-shaped molecular structure. tRNAs have two regions of fundamental functional importance: the anti-codon, which is responsible for specific mRNA codon recognition, and the 3' end, to which the tRNAs corresponding amino acid is attached (by aminoacyl-tRNA synthetases). tRNAs cope with the degeneracy of the genetic code in two manners: having more than one tRNA (with a specific anti-codon) for a particular amino acid; and 'wobble' base-pairing, i.e. permitting non-standard base-pairing at the 3rd anti-codon position. RNAcentral also lists the same sequence under 3 other names. Lineage: Bacteria; Pseudomonadati; Planctomycetota; Planctomycetia; Planctomycetales; Planctomycetaceae. The record is from RNAcentral.
GAGUGCGUAGCUCAGUUGGUAGAGCAACGGACUUUUAAUCCGUAGGUCCCGGGUUCAAGUCCCGGCGCACUCA